Molecule: ribosomal RNA, 504 nt
Filed under: uncultured bacterium
Lineage: Bacteria
Description: bacterial SSU rRNA
Rfam family: Bacterial small subunit ribosomal RNA
Source: RNAcentral
ACGACGCUGGCGGCGUGCCUAAUACAUGCAAGUUGAACGCUUGAUUUUCACCGAAGCUUGCUUCACCGAAAAUCAAGAGUAGCGAACGGGUGAGUAACGCGUGGGUAACCUACCUAUCAGCGGGGGAUAACUAUUGGAAACGAUAGCUAAUACCGCAUAACAAUGUUGAAUGCAUAUUCGACAUUUGAAAGUACCAACUGGUACACUGAGAGAUGGACCCGCGUUGUAUUAGCUAGUUGGUAGUGUAAUGGACUACCAAGGCGAUGAUACAUAGCCGACCCUGAGAGGGUGAUCGGCCACAUUGGGACUGAGACACGGCCCAAACUCCUACGGGAGGCAGCAGUAGGGAAUCUUCGGCAAUGGACGAAAGUCUGACCGAGCAACGCCGCGUGAGUGAAGAAGGUUUUCGGAUCGUAAAACUCUGUUGUUAGAGAAGAACGUUGCAUAGAGUGGAAAAUUAUGCAAGUGACGGUAUCUAACCAGAAAGGGACGGCUAACUACGUG